Non-coding RNA from Pangasius djambal, 73 nucleotides. The record is from the annotation of a GenBank genome assembly. NCBI's taxonomy places the organism in Eukaryota, Metazoa, Chordata, Actinopteri, Siluriformes, Pangasiidae.
GGGACAGUGGCUUAGUGGUUAGCAUAUUUGCCUUGCACCUCUAAGGCUGAGGGUUUGAAUCCCACCUCUGCCG